This 253-nucleotide ribosomal RNA is filed under the name uncultured bacterium. Its description in RNAcentral is "partial 16S ribosomal RNA". It matches the Rfam family "Bacterial small subunit ribosomal RNA", at positions 524 to 776 of the family's 1533-position model. The record is from RNAcentral.
UACGUAGGGGGCAAGCGUUGUCCGGAAUCAUUGGGCGUAAAGAGCGUGUAGGCGGCCCGAUAAGUCCGCUGUGAAAGUCCAGGGCUCAACCCUGGAAUGCCGGUGGAUACUGUCGGGCUCGAGUUCGGAAGAGGUGAGUGGAAUUCCUGGUGUAGCGGUGAAAUGCGCAGAUAUCAGGAGGAACACCAAUGGCGAAGGCAGCUCACUGGGACGAUACUGUCGCUGAGACGCGAAAGCGUGGGGAGCAAACAGG